CUGGUUUGAUCCUGCCAGUAAUUAUAUGCUUGUAUUAAAGAUUAAGCCAUGCAUGUAUAAGUACACACCUUUAUACGGUGAGACCGCGAAUGGCUCAUUAAAUCAGCUAUUAUUUCUUAGAUCUUACAAUUUACUUGGAUAACUGUAGUAAUUCUAGAGCUAAUACAUUUCAAAGUGCCUUAGUCUUCGGACUCAAGUGCGGAUUUAUUAGAACAAAACCAACCAGUUUCGGCUGUUUGUUUGUAAACUCUGGAUAACUUAUCAGAUCGCAUGGCCUUGUGCCGGCGACAUAUCUUUCAAGUGGCUGACCUAUCAACUGACGUUGGUGAGUUAUUUGCUCACCAUGGUGUUGACGGGUAACGGGGAAUCAGGGUUCGAUACCGGAGAGGGAGCCUUAGAAACGGCUACCACAUCUAAGGAAGGCAGCAGGCGCGCAAAUUACCCACUCUCAGCUAGAGGAGGUAGUAACGAUAAAUAACAAUGCAGGACUCUUUACGAGGCUCUGCAAUUGGAAUGAGUACAAUCUAAAUCCUUUAACGAGUACCAAUUGGAGGGCAAGUCUGGUGCCAGCAGCCGCGGUAAUUCCAGCUCCAAUAGCGUAUAUUAAAUUUGUUGAAGUUAAAAAGCUCGUAGUUGGAUCUCAGGCCAGAUGUGUCGGUGUGGUCAAUGGCCAUCUCCGUUCAUAUUUGCCUUUUUUAGCUGUUUGUCUUUUUAUUGUUCUCUUCACUGAGUGCUUUAAGAAGCUCGGCACGUUUACCUUGAAAAAAUCAGAGUGCUUAAUGCAGGCCUUUGUGCUUGUAUGUUGUUGCAUGGAAUAAUGGAAUAGGACUUCGGUUCUAUUUUGUUGGUUUUCGGUUCUGAAGUAAUGAAUAAUAGAGACAGUCGGGGGCAUUUCUAUGGCUGUGUUAGAGGUGAAAUUCUGAGAUCGCAGCCCGAGAAACUAUUGCGAAAGCAUUUGCCAAGCAUGUCUUCAUUAAUCAAGAACGAAAGUCAGAGGUUCGAAGACGAUCAGAUACCGUCCUAGUUCUGACCUUAAACGAUGUAGACUAAUAAUCAGAGGUGGUUAUAUUUUUAUUAAUCCUUCUGGCUGUUCCUGGGAAACCUUUUAGUGGUAUUCUUGGGGGAAUAUGACGACAACGUUGNNNCUUAAAGGAAUUGACGGAAGGGCACCACCAGGAGUGGAGCCUGCGGCUUAAUUUGACUCAACACGGGGAAACUCACCCGGUCCGGACACUGUUAGGAUGGACAGAUUGAUAGCUCUUUCUUGAUUCAGUGGGUGGUGGUGCAUGGCCGUUCUUAGUUGGUGGAGUGAUUUGUCUGGUUAAUUCCGAUAACGAACGAGACUCUGUCCUGCUAAAUAGUUCAGUAGCAUCGGCUGCUUCAUUGUGGCUACAGCUUCUGCUAACUUCUUAGAGGGAUUCGCGGNNNNNNNNNNNNNNNNNNNNNNNNNNNNNNNNNNNNNNNNNNNNNNNNNNNNNNNNNNNNNNNNNNCGCGCUACAUUGACAGUAUUAACAAGUAAUAACACCUGGACUGAAAAGUUCGGGAAAUCUUUGAAUUACUGUCUCCACAGGGAUUGAGGUUUGUAACUAUCCCUCAUGAACGAGGAAUUCCCAGUAGGCGCAAGUCAUCAGCUUGCGUCGAUUACGUCCCUGCCCUUUGUACACACCGCCCGUCGCUACUACCGAUUGAGUGGAUUAGUGAGGCCCUCGGAUCGAAGUUUGAGUGGAAUUUUUUCAUUCAUACAUUGAAAAGUGGGUCAAACUUGUUCAUUUAGAGGAAGUAAAAGUCGUAACAAGGUUUCCGUAGGUGAACCUGCAGAUGGAUCAAGGUGAACCUGCANAUGGAUCAAGGUGAACCUGC
Molecule: ribosomal RNA, 1861 nt
Filed under: Trigonostomum denhartogi
Lineage: Eukaryota; Metazoa; Platyhelminthes; Rhabdocoela; Trigonostomidae
Description: partial 18S ribosomal RNA
Rfam family: Eukaryotic small subunit ribosomal RNA
Source: RNAcentral